CUACGGGGUGCCCCAGUGAGGAAUAUUGCACAAUGGGGGAAACUCUGAUGCAGCAACGCCGCGUGGAGGAUGACGCAUUUCGGUGUGUAAACUCCUUUUAUAUGUCAAGAAAAUGACGGUAGCAUAUGAAUAAGCACCGGCUAACUCCGUGCCAGCAGCCGCGGUAAUACGGAGGGUGCAAGCGUUACUCGGAAUCACUGGGCGUAAAGGACGCGUAGGCGGGAUAUCAAGUCAGGUGUGAAAUCCUACAGCUUAACUGUAGAACUGCACUUGAAACUGGUAACCUAGAGUAUGGGAGGGGGAGAUGGAAUUAGUGGUGUAGGGGUAAAAUCCGUAGAUAUCACUAGGAAUACCUAAAGCGAAGGCGAUCUCCUGGAACAUAACUGACGCUAAGGCGUGAAAGCGUGGGGAGCAAACAGGAUUAGAUACCCCGGUAGUC
RNAcentral lists this ribosomal RNA (439 nucleotides) under uncultured bacterium. Its description in RNAcentral is "partial 16S ribosomal RNA". It matches the Rfam family "Bacterial small subunit ribosomal RNA", at positions 339 to 795 of the family's 1533-position model. The record is from RNAcentral.